CUGGGACAGCGGCCCUCGUCCUUGUCGCCGUAGUCCUCUGCCACGACCGCAGCGCCAACGCCAGAGACGGAGUUGGCCGGGACUGCACGCCUCUCGUCGCUCCGCGUCCCCUGGCACCUUCUCUUGAGUGGCAGGCAAGCAAGCAAGCAAGCGGGCGGGGUCAGCGCCCCAAGAAGGGAAAGAGCGCGAGGGCCAGCUAACGCCGCCGCCGCCGUCGCCGCUGAGUCAGCGCGAAGCGCCCUCUCCGAAGUGGAGCCCUUCAUGGUCCCAGCUGAAAGCCUGGAGAGGCUGCGCGCGGUGGCUCACGCCUGUAAUCCCAACACUUUGAGAGGCCAAGGCAGGUGGAUCACUUGAGCGCAGGAAUUCAAGACCAGCCUGGGCAACAUGGCAAAACCCCAUCUCUACAAAAAGUACAAAAAUUAACCGGGCGUGGUGGUGGGUGCCUGUAGUCCCAGUUACUCCGGAGGCUGACGCAGGAGAAUCGCUUGAACCUGGGAGGCGCAGGUUGCAGUGAGCCGACAUCUCGCCACUGCACUCCAGCCUGGGGGACAGAAUGAGACUCCAACUCAAAAAAAGAAAAAAAGAAAAAGAAAGCCUGGGGAUAUUUACCAGGACCCUUCCUCCUUUUCAGGCCCUAGAUUCUAAGAUCCUGCUUUGCAGAUCUGAAGUGGGACCCAGGAAUCUUUAACAAGCUCUAAGGUAAUGGUAAUGCAAAAGUUACUCCCUCUCCCUCUCCCUCUCCGUCUCCCUCUCCCUCUCCCCACGGUCUCCCUCUCAUGCGGAGCUGAAGCUGGACUGUACUGCUGCCAUCUCGGCUCACUGCAACCUCCCUGCCUGAUUCUCCUGCCUCAGCCUGCCGAGUGCCUGCAAUUGCAGGCACGCGCCGCCACGCCUGACUGGUUUUGGUGGAGACGGGGUUUCGCUGUGUUGGCCGGGCCGGUCUCCAGCCCCUAACCGCGAGUGAUCCGCCAGCCUCGGCCUCCCGAGGUGCCGGGAUUGCAGACGGAGUCUCGUUCACUCAGUGCUCAAUGGUGCCCAGGCUGGAGUGCAGUGGCGUGAUCUCGGCUCACUACAACCUACACCUCCCAGCCACCUGCCUUGGCCUCCCAAAGUGCCGAGAUUGCAGCCUCUGCCCGGCCGCCACCCCGUCUGGGAAGUGAGGAGUGUCUCUGCCUGGCCGCCCAUCAUCUGGGAUGUGAGGAGCCCCUCUGCCUGGCUGCCCAGUCUGGAAAGUGAGGAGCGUCUCCUCCUGGCCGCCAUCCCAUCUAGGAAGUGAGGAGCGCCUCUUCCCAGCCGCCAUCACAUCUAGGAAGUGAGGAGCGUCUCUGCCCGGCCGCCCAUCGUCUGAGAUGUGGGGAGCGCCUCUGCCCUGCCGCCCCGUCUGGGAUGUGAGGAGCGCCUCUGCCCGGCCGAGACCCCGUCUGGGAGGUGAGGAGCGUCUCUGCCCAGCCGCCCCGUCUGAGAAGUGAGGAGACCCUCUGCCUGGCAACCGCCCCGUCUGAGAAGUGAGGAGCCUCUCCGCCCGGCAGCCACCCCAUCUGGGAAGUGAGGAGCGUCUCCGCCCGGCAGCCACCCCGUCCGGGAGGGAGGUGGGGGGUCAGCCCCCCCGCCCGGC
Molecule: long non-coding RNA, 1615 nt
Filed under: Homo sapiens (human)
Lineage: Eukaryota; Metazoa; Chordata; Mammalia; Primates; Hominidae
Description: HSALNT0266563
Source: RNAcentral